Molecule: ribosomal RNA, 787 nt
Filed under: uncultured bacterium
Lineage: Bacteria
Description: bacterial SSU rRNA
Rfam family: Bacterial small subunit ribosomal RNA
Source: RNAcentral
AGACGAACGAGCGAGAGAGAGCUUGCUUUCUCGAGCGAGUGGCGAACGGGUGAGUAACGCGUGAGGAACCUGCCUCAAAGAGGGGGACAACAGUUGGAAACGACUGCUAAUACCGCAUAAGCCCACGGGUCGGCAUCGACCAGAGGGAAAAGGAGCAAUCCGCUUUGAGAUGGCCUCGCGUCCGAUUAGCUAGUUGGUGAGGUAACGGCCCACCAAGGCGACGAUCGGUAGCCGGACUGAGAGGUUGAACGGCCACAUUGGGACUGAGACACGGCCCAGACUCCUACGGGAGGCAGCAGUGGGGAAUAUUGCACAAUGGGGAAACCCUGAUGCAGCGACGCCGCGUGGAGGAAGAAGGUCUUCGGAUUGUAAACUCCUGUUGUUGGGGAAGAUAAUGACGGUACCCAACAAGGAAGUGACGGCUAACUACGUGCCAGCAGCCGCGGUAAAACGUAGGUCACAAGCGUUGUCCGGAAUUACUGGGUGUAAAGGGAGCGCAGGCGGGAAGACAAGUUGGAAGUGAAAUCUAUGGGCUCAACCCAUAAACUGCUUUCAAAACUGUUUUUCUUGAGUAGUGCAGAGGUAGGCGGAAUUCCCGGUGUAGCGGUGGAAUGCGUAGAUAUCGGGAGGAACACCAGUGGCGAAGGCGGCCUACUGGGCACCAACUGACGCUGAGGCUCGAAAGUGUGGGUAGCAAACAGGAGUAGAUACCCUGGUAGUCCACACCGUAAACGAUGAUUAUUAGGUGUUGGAGGAUCGACCCCUUCAGUGCCGCAGUAACACAAUA